Molecule: long non-coding RNA, 4607 nt
Organism: Passer domesticus (house sparrow)
Lineage: Eukaryota; Metazoa; Chordata; Aves; Passeriformes; Passeridae
Exons: 24
Source: RefSeq, a predicted model, not a curated record
GCUAUCAGUGGUGGAGGGGCUGUGCCAAGCUGGGAUCCUGGGUGCUCUCCUGUGGGCUGAGGUUCCCCAGGAGAUGUGUUCCUGUGCUGGGAAAGCCUUCCUGACUGUAAACAAGCAGCCUGGUGGAAGGUUUCAGUGAUGGGCUGCAUGCAAAGCCAAAGUCUGGGAUUACAGCAGUAGCCACACUAGAAAAGGCUGACCUGAUUCACAGCAUCAUAGUUCACAGCCACUUCAAGUUUUCUCGGUUUUCACAAGCUUGCUAAGCUGCUUAGGCCUUGCAGAAUCUGUCUGGAGAGGUAAUUUCUGUGCCAAAAGGCACUCGUUCCCAGGAUUAAGAUUUAGGCACUACUUACCUGUGAGGAAAACCUCACAUUUAUGAAGGAAGGUUUGCUCUGAGCUCUUGCAUAGCAGGACAGUCAGCCUGUAUAAACCUCUUGGCUGUGAGAAGAAGCUGGUGUGGAUCAGAAAGCCAAAGUCCCACUGGAAUAUUGGGCAAAAGUCUGUUGUAAUCCAGAGCGCCCACUAAUGAGGUCCUCGUGCCUGAUAUGACAAUACAUCUCUUCCAGAGAGCUUGUGAUGUGUCCUCAGUGCAGCAAAAUUCAACAUCCAUCUUGGAGCAUGUUUUCUUGGAGCAUUGCCAGAGGCUGUCCCAGGAGGAAUGUCCUCUGCCACCCCCAGCAUCCUUGGUCUUGAAAAAGCUCCCAGAAUGGAUGUCAAGGGGUUGUUCUGUACAUCAGCCUUAAGCCAUAGAAAAGAUACAUUUUGAGUUGUUCUCUGCUGGAUAUCCAGGUAUUCCCCAUGAAGAAAGAACCACAGGACCACCACAGGAUCCCCUUUCCCACCAGGAGCCUCAUGGUUGGUGUUGCUGGCAAGGGUUUUUCCUCUGAAUUCAGAUGCUGCUUUUUCCUUGGCCGGAGUCUGGCAAAGAGCUCCUUCCAACCCCACAUCUGUGACAGGAAGAAGGAGUGUUACCUCAUUUUAUUAAAACCAGAAAGAAGGCUGUUGGCCACUUUGCUCAACAUUCUCAUCAGUACUGCCCACGAGGCUCUCUGGAUUGGGUCAGCAAUAUUCCUCUGACACAAGAUUUUUCCAGGAUCCUAAAUCCCACAUCUUCCACAACUGUCUUUCAAGGAGGCAAAGACUACUUGCUGUGUACUGGAAUGUGUCCUUUAUAUUUGAUAUUAACUAAUGGGGACGAAAUUGCUCUUGGCUCUUGAUAUUACUGAGUGUUCCCUUUGGGGUCUGGAUUCCUUCCCAGCAAGUGGUAGCAGCCACCAGCAAAGGCUGUUGAAAUGUCAGAUGGCGAAAACAAGGAAGAGCUCCAGAUGGAGCAGCUGGAAGAGAAACACGAUAGAGAUGGCAAUGGGAAAGCUUCAGAGUCACACUUGACUGGGAGUCCCGUGUUUGGGAUUGGGAGUCCCCACCUGUGGCUUCCAAACCCACUCUGUGCAAGCCCUUGUGCAAAGCAGCAUCCCAUGAGGAAGUUCUUCAUUAUUAUGCAUUCCCUGACUUUAGCCAAGAGAGUUUGACCAAGCCAUGGAAGGUCUGUGCUGUCGAGAGUACAGAGAAAACUACUCCAGCUCCUGGGAUUUGACUGAAAGGAUUGAAGACCGAAAUAAAUAAAAGCAAUUUGUGCUGCCUACAGCCUCGUACCUGCUGGUCUGCAAGUGGGACCUCACAAUGAGAUUCUUCUCAGUGCAGCAAAACUCACUGACCACCACUGGCUGUGUUGGACACCUCUCCAGAUUCCUCUGGAACAGUAAAGAGGGUUGUGGAUGUAGAGCAGAACAGGACCAGCUCUGGCAUUUUGGCUGCUGCAGCAGAGAACAUGGAUCUGAAAUUGUAUCCUGAAAUUCUGAGGCCACUGGUGAGCUGUAGGAGGCCUUCAGCAACCACCAGCAUUAUUCCAGAAGGAAAAGGUAGAAUUUGCUGGAUGAGCAAGCUGGAAGAAGGCGGUAUCUGAGUCACACCGUUUGCACUGUGCUUUGUACCCCUGCGGGGGAUGUAAAAGCUCCAUUUUUGGAAUAUUCCGAGGUCCACCCCAGUCAGAUGUGCCAGGUUCUGUGCCUGGAGCUGCACUUCCCACCAUUGCAAGUCCUGCCCAACUUGCAUAGAACAGCUUCAGAAAUGGCAAAGGCUGCAAGGUGCUCACGCAGUGUGAUGACCAGCUGAACAGGAUUGAAAAGGACAGUGACAAGUUAUAAAAGUUUGUGUGAGCUUUUGGCCCAGCUGCCAAUACUCAGCUUUUCCUGCUCGAUGUACAAGUUUCUGCAUCCUCACCCUACGGAUCCUUUUUUAUAUUCAGAGAUCAGCACUGUGUGUUUUCUUUUAAAAAUCACAGUAUUUCAGCCAGAAUCACAACAUCAGUUGAUUUAUAAGCCCUGAGCUGACAAUACAUGUAAACAGAAGACUAACUUUAAGCAUAUGCUUAAGUUCUCUGCAUCUCAGCCACAUGCUUAAGUGCUUUGCCAGGGGAAAGGAGAAGGCAUGAGAAAUCUCUUUGAUCAUUUGAAGGAAAGAUUGGUCCCACUCCACUGAAAUCCUUGGCCUACAGAUAUCCCCUAGGAGACCUUUAGUGAACAUCAGACAAAGAAUGACAGUAGAAUCUUCAUUGCACUCUGUCAGUGUAAAUUGACUUGCUGCAACCUGCUACUCUCCAGAAAUUACAAAGCCCAGGAAGAUAAUUUGUUGCUGGUGCUGAUAGCAUCUGUUUAUUCUAAUGCACCAGUCGGGCUGUGCUCGCCUGCACAGGGGAGAAAAUGACCUUCAGUGGAAUCACAAACUUAGUUCUGGAUCAGCAUCUCCCUCGGCAGCUGGCUGCUGGGAAUCUGAAGUCCCUGUUUUCAGGGAGGCAGCAGCCAAACCAGUGCAGGGCAAGGCUGCCACCAGGGAGGCAGAAGGCAACCUAGAGCUUUUUCAAGAACUGUGGAAGAGAGCCCAGCACAAGGACCCACAGCUGCACCAGGCUCUCCAUGCUGACACCCACCCAGGGCCCUUGGCUUCCUCUGGGCAUCAGAACAGGAGCUGUUCUGGAAGGACAUUUCACCUGGAUCAAGAAAACCAGGAUCAGAACAGAGAUCCACAUAUGCUGCUUGGAGGCUGAUUUCUGCCCUCAUCCCUCUGUUCCAGUCAGUGGGCAAUGCUGGGGGCAACCUUCUCUCCCUUCUGAUGCUCCAGAUGGGUCACUGGCACCAGGUUUUAAAGCAGCUGCAACACGAGCCCAGAGUGCUCAGGCUGGAUGGAGAUCCUGCACUGCAAGGUCUUCUGCUGUUUCUGGGGUUGCAAAAGGAACAUCCACCUAUCAAGUCAGUGCCCAGCUUAAAUUUUUAUAUAUCCCUCUUCAUCUUCUAAUGAACUGUGCACCUGGAGGUGUGCUUCAGUGUGGUCAUGCAACCAGCUGGGCACAGUGCUGAGCAAAGAUUGUAUCUCCUUUCUCUAGGAAGUCAGACCAUACUGAGAACUACCAUCAGUUAUACUCAAAGUCCCCAAAUUCUUGGUGUCUCCUUUGCCCAAGCAUGAGAUCAUUACCUGUUGUGUGGGGGGGGAUAUAGCAUUCCCUAACAGAAAUCCUGCAUGCCUGGAUGUAGACAAAUGAACAAAGUCCUGAACAGUCUAAAAGAAAAUACCUCCUCCAUCCAAAAAAUGGGAGUUAGAAAGGAGACUUUUGCCUUGUGCCUCCAGCUUCAGUUUAAAGUUGAUCAAGCAACUUCCUUCUGCAGAGAAAGUGUUUCUGUAAGUGGCAGAAGAAAAAUAUUGCAGAGGAAAAAAAACCCUAGUUCCUGAAUUCCAAAAAUACUGUCUCUUUUCAAAGUAAGAUUUAUAUGCAAGAAGACAAUCUCUCUUACAGAAUUUUUCCUGUCACUUGGAGUCCACUCACUGGAAACAAGCAUACAGUUUAAAAAUAUAUUGGAAGAGCAGCUUGGACACAGAGAAAGGAAUGACCUGUAGUCCUAAAAAACAGAGAAGCUUUUCAGUAGCUUGAGGCUUGGAACAAGAAUCUAAAAGUUAUGUAACACCAGUAAAAUUUGGGGCAUUCUUCUUACCUAAAAAAUAACCAUUCUUGGCUUCUCACAUUAAUAUCUCUGCUUAGGGAUUACGUUAACUGUUUUGUGGGGAAGCUGGAUGGAAAUCUGCAGCUGUGGUGGUGAGUUUUCUUCAAUGUGUACAGGGUCGGGAUGAGUGAGUGCUUGGGUUAUUUGAGGGCUGGUGUUCCUGAGCCCUCUUUGUCUGGGAUCCAGACAAGCCUUCCUGUUGAGAAACACUGUCCUACUUCUUCAGUGCAAGACAAACAACAGAACAGCUCCUGCUCUAGCAGCACCGUGGAAGCAGUAAACUGUUUCCAGUUAAUGCUGCGAGCAUGGAGUGGCUUCUGGAGUUAUCAAAGCAGAGGUAACACACCUCCUUUCCUGCUCUCCUUGGUUUUAUUAAGAUAGCUUUGGUUCUUGCAAAAUUCUGAGGGAUGUUGUGUGGGCCUUUUGCAAGGAAAAGGUUGGAUGCCCAUGUGCACCUCUGAGGUGGAAACAAUGGGUACCAUUAGCUCUAUUCAAGGAUACAACUUCAUUUCAGCAUGAGUGGAAAGUAUGUGGGAAUGCUUAAUAACUUUUCCU